Herpailurus yagouaroundi (jaguarundi) is the source of this 759-nucleotide long non-coding RNA. RefSeq lists it as uncharacterized. The record is from RefSeq and is a predicted model, not a curated record. The transcript is spliced from 4 exons. NCBI's taxonomy places the organism in Eukaryota, Metazoa, Chordata, Mammalia, Carnivora, Felidae.
CAGGCCCCCAAGCAGGUGGAGUUGGAUGCGCGGGUGGAAUCUUGGCUUUUAACUCCUGGGGCAGCUGACAAUGUCCACGAACCCCCGGGUGGGGCGGGAACCUUUAGCCGCUAACCCCUAACCGCCCCCACACCAUGCCCCCCCCCCCCAUCUCUGUUUUAAGUUAAAUGCCCUGGGCUCGCUCUGUAAACGUGGAGCUGUAAACGUGGAGCUGAGAGGAACCACCAGCAGCCUCUCCCUCUCCUUCUGGAACCUUCUCCCAACAGUGAUGGCUGCCACAGAGCAGGGGCUGGAGGCCAUGACCCUGUACUCUGGAGCAGACGCUGCGGCCGAGCUGCCUCCGAGGCGUGGAGAUUCUGGAAGGAAACUCGGGCUGGGGAGGAGGAACGAGUUCCGGCAGAGCGGGCACGUUUGAUGACAGCCGCUCGUGUGCGGAGAGCUGUCCCAGGGGCCCGGGGACGCGGAGGCUCAGCCGGACAGAAACCCACUCAGGGAUGGAUUGAGCACCUGCUGUGUACCAAGCACUGCCCGCCCCCCCGGAAGAUAGCAGUGACCGAAACAGACUGAGAAAACCGCCGGAAAGCAAAACCCAGAAAACUCUCGGGCCUCGGUGGCCUCAGGCUUUAUGUCAAAUUAACACGCGGGUAAAUAAGAUACUUUCCAAGCAGCCUCGAGGUUCGGGGGGCCCCAGACCCACCGAGACUUUUCUCCAAGGAAAGACCAACGUUUGCGCGGCCAGCUCCAGAGGGGAUCUCCCGG